AGCGAGUGUCAAACGUGAUAAUAAAGAGUGAUGUAGUGUGGAUGUGUGCGUCCGUCAAUCUUUCCUACCUACGCCUUUCCGUGAGGCGGCUGCAGCAGGAAAUCGCCGAGCCGUGCUGCAGAGAGGAAAGGAUGGCAGGUUGUGCCGCGGUGAACACUCGCAACAUGUGCAGGAGGAAAGAAAGGAUGGCAGGUUGUGCCGCGGUGAACACUUGCAACAUGUGCAGGAGGAAAGUGAGUACCUGCUUCAUUACAUCAUUUGCCCUCUAUUUUAGAACUCG
Molecule: long non-coding RNA, 280 nt
Organism: Scylla paramamosain (green mud crab)
Lineage: Eukaryota; Metazoa; Arthropoda; Malacostraca; Decapoda; Portunidae
Exons: 3
Source: RefSeq, a predicted model, not a curated record